CCUUGAUGAAUUUCUUCCAAGCAACACACAGACGAUAACAUGUAUGGCAAUUGGAGUGGAAGAUGCUAAUUUUUGACAGAUAAAACUUUCCUACAUUUCCAAUAAUAAGUAUGGGAUCUCCUACGCUAAAUAAUUGUUCCGGACGAAUCUUCUUUGGUAUGGUCUGCAAUCCAAAUUUUAUUUUAAGUUAAUUCAAUCGUCCACUCCAGUUCUACUGGAGCUUCUUGUUCUUCUUCAUCUUCAUCUUAUUUUUCUUCGUUUUGUUAGUUGUUGUUCUUCGUCUUCUUCAACCUCCAUCGUCGAAUCGGGCUCUUCCACCUCAGGUGGAAUAAAAUCCCUAGGCCUUUAAAAAAAUGCGGGUACCGAAAUAGAUGGUCGAAGAACACCAUCUUUGAAGGUUGGAAGUACUUCAUACUUUGUUAUUUGAACGAUCAAUGAUUUUCGGGGAGUUGGAUAGAAUAGGAACUCCAGCACCAUGUCUCUCAUUACUGCCUCCUUGUCAACAAAGAUUCUCCAUCAUGAAAUGAAAAUAAAUAAAAAAUUAAAUUGCAAGCCACAAUUAGUGUAGUUAAGCACGACCCGCGUCCUCCGCGUGUGCGUUUCACGUCCUUGCAAAUCCCAGAAACAAAUAGGGAUAAAUCUUUAAAAACCGAAGGCAAGACUUUGAUUUCGAUCUGGAACAGGAACAGGGAAAAUCGAAAUCGAUCUGGAAAUCGAACAGGGAAGUGCGUCAGAAGAUCGAUCACGAUCUGGAAGUCCGUCUGCAACAAACGCGAUCUGGAAAUUACGAUCUGGAAGAACACGAUUGCAGGUCAGUCAAUAAACGCGAUAUGGAAGAAUGCGGUCUGGAAGAAUCCGAUCUGGAAGUGGAAUCGCGUCGAUUUCCUUCACCGAUUGCGAUCGUUGUUCUUGACUGUGUCGCGAUCUGGAGAAAUCGGAGGAUGCGCGAUCUGGAAAUUUUAUUUCACCUUCACAGAAGAGAACCGUCUGAUACCAUUUUGGAAUCUCAAUGUUCUGUGAAAGCAAAACUCAUUUGGAAAAUGAAAACUUGAUUGAGUGAAUUAUCUUGUCAAAU
RNAcentral lists this long non-coding RNA (1075 nucleotides) under Zostera marina. RNAcentral describes it as "long non-coding RNA (ZMAR_LNC000792)". The record is from RNAcentral. Lineage: Eukaryota; Viridiplantae; Streptophyta; Magnoliopsida; Alismatales; Zosteraceae.